RNAcentral lists this long non-coding RNA (947 nucleotides) under Equus caballus (horse). Its description in RNAcentral is "lncRNA (ENSECAG00000053408.1)". The record is from RNAcentral. Lineage: Eukaryota; Metazoa; Chordata; Mammalia; Perissodactyla; Equidae.
AGGAAGGAUGCCGGGGAGAGACCACUGGGUGAUUUUCUCUGUUCGUUGGCGAUGUUCUAAAGAAAAGGGGACUUUGUUUCUUUACAAAAAGAAAAAAAUGUGGAAAGUGCCUGUGCUGGUGCAGAUAGCUGCCAUGAGGGGUUCAUCAGUGCUCUCAGUUAGCGAGGCCCAGGGAAACCUGGCCUCGUGUGCACAGGCUACAGAUGACAGUCACUGGUCACAGACCCCUAGGAGAAGAGAAAGCGUUCUCAACCUCCCAAGCAGUUGCCCGGCUCCUGGCCAUUUGCAGUCGCUGCUAAAAUCAGCCUCAUCGAUGACCACACUUCCAGGAAGCCACAGAGAGCUCUGUCGCUGCCGCCGCCUGGAAUUGUGUUUGGCUGGGGCACCGAGACCAUCUAGAAGGGGAAGAGCGGCAUGUCUGGGCGUUUAAGCCAUUUGUGGUAAAAGGAUCCGGAUGUGCAAACGGCUGAGUUGCCCUGUUACUGGAUUGUUUUUUUCCACUAGAUGAAAAACAAAAUCUUUUUUUUUCCAACUGGCUGCAGCUCCAUUCAAGUAAUAAUAAAAGAACUUAACAGUGGUGCAUUAUGUAUGUGGUGAGUCUUUGAAAGAGAAGGCCUUGCUGCCGUGUGAGGCCCAGCAAGGCGGACAGGGACGGCUGGCGUUUCUGAUCAAUGGUUACUGAGCUCGGUUUUGUGCCUGGCACCGUGGGAGCUGAGCGGAAAACGGAAUGCACGAAAAAGGAAGACUGGGAGGCAAGGAGAGGGCUGAGCAGUGACUCGGGUGGGCUAAGUAGGCAGAGGAAAGCAAGGAGGCCAGUUCCGAGGUUUCCUUGGACAUUCAGCAAACAUUUAUUAAGCUCCUACUGUGUGCUGGCAACAUGCGGGUCCAGAGAUGCGACACAGAAAAGAUGGAUUAGAUCCUGCCUACCCAGGGCUUCCAUUCCGGGA